This 22-nucleotide non-coding RNA is filed under the name Arabidopsis thaliana (thale cress). Lineage: Eukaryota; Viridiplantae; Streptophyta; Magnoliopsida; Brassicales; Brassicaceae. The record is from RNAcentral.
GCCGAGCGAUUAGGUUAUUGGC